AAUUAGUUUUUUAAUUGAAAAAUAGAAUGAAUGAUAUUAUUUAAUUACUACUUAUUAAUUUACCAACCUUAAAUUUUUAUUUUUAGUUAAAAUACUAAAAUUUUUUUAUAAGACAAAAAGACCCUAUGAAGCUGUAAAAUAUAAGAUUACUAUUUAUAUUAAAAUAUUUUUAUUUUUUGGGGUAAAAGAUAAUAUAUUUAUUAAAAUGAAAAAAAAAUUUUUUAAUUAUUAUCCUUUUGGAAUAUUUAAUAAGCUCCUCUAGGGAUAACAGCAUUAUAUUUAUAAAAGUUCGUAUUAAACUAAAUGU
This 307-nucleotide ribosomal RNA is filed under the name Gaetanus minor. RNAcentral's name for it is "partial 16S rRNA". The record is from RNAcentral. Lineage: Eukaryota; Metazoa; Arthropoda; Copepoda; Calanoida; Aetideidae.